This 451-nucleotide ribosomal RNA is filed under the name uncultured Fibrobacter sp. RNAcentral's name for it is "partial 16S ribosomal RNA". It matches the Rfam family "Bacterial small subunit ribosomal RNA", at positions 341 to 792 of the family's 1533-position model. Lineage: Bacteria; Pseudomonadati; Fibrobacterota; Fibrobacteria; Fibrobacterales; Fibrobacteraceae. The record is from RNAcentral.
ACGGGAGGCAGCAGUAGGGAAUAUUGCACAAUGGGGGGAACCCUGAUGCAGCAACGCCACGUGUGGGAAGAAGCAUUUCGGUGUGUAAACCACUGUCGUGAGGGAAUAAUGCUUGGUCUCGGCCAAGUUGAAUGUACCUCGAAAGGAAGCACCGGCAAACUUCGUGCCAGCAGCCGCGGUAAUACGAGGGGUGCAAGCGUUGUUCGGAAUCACUGGGCGUAAAGGGAGCGUAGGCGGAGACGCAAGCAGUCUGUACAAUACCGGGGCCCAACCCCGGACCUGCAGACUGGACUGUGUCUCUUGGAUAGCUCAGGGGCUGGCGGAAUUCCUGGUGUAGCGGUGGAAUGCGUAGAGAUCAGGAAGAACACCGAUGGCGAAGGCAGCCAGCUGGGGGCUUAUCGACGCUCAUGCUCGAAAGCGCGGGUAGCAAACAGGAUUAGAUACCCUGGUA